CCUACGGGGGGCAGCAGUGGGGAAUAUUGCACAAUGGGGGAAACCCUGAUGCAGCGACGCCGCGUGAGUGAAGAAGUACUUCGGUACGUAAAGCCCUGUCAGCAGGGAAGAAAAUGACGGUACCUGACGAAGAAGCCCCGGCUAACUACGUGCCAGCAGCCGCGGUAAUACGUAGGGGGCAAGCGUUAUCCGGAUUUACUGGGUGUAAAGGGGGCGUAGACGGCAGUGCAAGGCUGGAGUGAAAUCCCAGGGCUUAACCAUGGGACUGCUUUGGAAACUGUGCAGCUAGAGUGCAGGAGGGGUAGGCGGAAUGCCUGGUGUAGCGGUGAAAUGCGUAGAUAUUAGGAGGAACACCGGUGGCGAAGGCGGCCUACUGGACUGUAACUGACGUUGAGGCUCGAAAGCGUGGGGAGCAAACAGGAUUAGAUACCCCAGUAGUC
RNAcentral lists this ribosomal RNA (440 nucleotides) under uncultured bacterium. RNAcentral's name for it is "partial 16S ribosomal RNA". It matches the Rfam family "Bacterial small subunit ribosomal RNA", at positions 338 to 795 of the family's 1533-position model. The record is from RNAcentral.